RNAcentral lists this ribosomal RNA (465 nucleotides) under uncultured bacterium. RNAcentral describes it as "bacterial SSU rRNA". It matches the Rfam family "Bacterial small subunit ribosomal RNA", at positions 28 to 507 of the family's 1533-position model. The record is from RNAcentral.
GACGAACGCUGGCGGCGCGCCUAACACAUGCAAGUCGAACGGAGCUUAGAGAGCUUGCUUUUUAAGCUUAGUGGCGAACGGGUGAGUAACGCGUGAGUAACCUGCCCUAGAGUGGGGGACAACAGUUGGAAACGACUGCUAAUACCGCAUAAGCCCACGGUACCGCAUGGUACAGUGUGAAAAACUCCGGUGGUAUAAGAUGGACCCGCGUCUGAUUAGCUUGUUGGUGAGGUAACGGCCCACCAAGGCGACGAUCAGUAGCCGGCCUGAGAGGGUGAACGGCCACAUUGGGACUGAGACACGGCCCAAACUCCUACGGGAGGCAGCAGUGGGGAAUAUUGCACAAUGGGGGGAAACCCUGAUGCAGCGACGCCGCGUGAGUGAUGAAGUAUUUCGGUAUGUAAAACUCUAUCAGCAGGGAAGAUAAUGACGGUACCUGACUAAGAAGCACCGGCUAAAUACGUG